This 82-nucleotide small nucleolar RNA is filed under the name Gouania willdenowi (blunt-snouted clingfish). RNAcentral describes it as "Small nucleolar RNA SNORD74 (ENSGWIG00000008593.1)". It matches the Rfam family "Small nucleolar RNA SNORD74". From Rfam's summary of the family: Z18 also identified as U74 (SNORD74) belongs to the C/D class of snoRNA which contain the C (UGAUGA) and D (CUGA) box motifs. Most of the members of the box C/D family function in directing site-specific 2'-O-methylation of substrate RNAs. U74 is predicted to guide the 2'O-ribose methylation of 28S rRNA residue C3820. The record is from Rfam by way of RNAcentral. Lineage: Eukaryota; Metazoa; Chordata; Actinopteri; Blenniiformes; Gobiesocidae.
CCUGUGGUUGAAUGAUGAGGUUAAUGUUGGUAGGGACAUCUGAGUUAAAAUGAAGAAGCGCCAACAGCUCUGACCAUAGAGG